Molecule: ribosomal RNA, 327 nt
Filed under: uncultured bacterium
Lineage: Bacteria
Description: bacterial SSU rRNA
Rfam family: Bacterial small subunit ribosomal RNA
Source: RNAcentral
GAUGUAACGCCUGGGCGGCGUGCUUAACACAUGCAAGUCGAACGAGAAGUCAACGGAUUGAGGAUUCGUCCAAAUGAAGUUGAGGAAAGUGGCGGACGGGUGAGUAACGCGUGAGGAACCUGCCUCGGAGUGGGGAAUAACAGUUGGAAACAGCUGCUAAUACCGCAUAAUGCAACGAAAUCGCAUGACUUUGUUGCCAAAGAUUUAUCGCUCUGAGAUGGCCUCGCGUUGGAUUAGAUAGUUGGUGAGGUAACGGCUCACCAAGUCGACGAUCCAUAGCCGGACUGAGAGGUUGAACGGCCACAUUGGGACUGAGACACGGCCCAG